Molecule: small RNA, 178 nt
Organism: Pluralibacter gergoviae
Lineage: Bacteria; Pseudomonadati; Pseudomonadota; Gammaproteobacteria; Enterobacterales; Enterobacteriaceae
Rfam family: STAXI RNA
Source: Rfam
UGUCGCACUGGCGACCACCAAUGCUCUUGUAGCCUGUGAUGAGCGCCUUCGGGUGGCUACAGUCGCACUUAAGCUGCGACCACUAAUGUUCCGGCAGUCUGUGAGGAGCGCCUUCGGGUGACUGCACAAUAAAACUCUCUAAGCCUGAAAGGGAGUACAUAAACAAUGUGGCAAAUCU